This 310-nucleotide unclassified non-coding RNA is filed under the name plant metagenome. Its description in RNAcentral is "partial contains 5.8S ribosomal RNA, internal transcribed spacer 2, and large subunit ribosomal RNA". The stretch from base 1 to 105 matches the Rfam family "5.8S ribosomal RNA", at positions 50 to 154 of the family's 154-position model. The record is from RNAcentral.
GAAAUGCGAUAAGUAGUGUGAAUUGCAGAAUUCAGUGAAUCAUCGAAUCUUUGAACGCACAUUGCGCCCCUUGGUAUUCCAUGGGGCAUGCCUGUUCGAGCGUCAUUUGUACCCUCAAGCUAUGCUUGGUGUUGGGUGUUUGUCCCCGUCUCCGCGCGUGGACUCGCCCCAAAGUGAUUGGCAGCCGGCGUACUGGUCCCGGAGCGCAGCACAUGUCGCGCAAACGAGUGCCUUGGUACGGCGGCGUCCAUAAGCCCCUCUCUCACGCUCUUGACCUCGGAUCAGGUAGGGAUACCCGCUGAACUUAAGC